GUUUCCGUAGGUGAACCUGCUGCUGGAUCAUUACA
This 35-nucleotide ribosomal RNA is filed under the name Pratylenchus coffeae. Its description in RNAcentral is "partial 18S ribosomal RNA". The record is from RNAcentral. RNAcentral also lists the same sequence under 1 other name. Lineage: Eukaryota; Metazoa; Nematoda; Chromadorea; Rhabditida; Pratylenchidae.